AACCUUGAACUGUCUAGACAACACCAUAAAACCCAAAGUUCUAAACAGCUUAAUUGGGUUAUAUUAUACACCUUCUGGUGGGCCCAAAAGAGAUUUCCGCAAUGUGCAAUAAACUGGAGACGUGAGAAAACCUCCUCUUGAUCUGACCAGAGUGAAGUGGAUCUCAUGACUCUUAACCUCUCAGAAGCCCAAAGUCUAAAAAUAAAUCCAUAAGAUGCACAGCAGCUCAUGCCUCUUCUGAGGAAGUAUGCUUUUUAAAAUAUGAAUUUUUUAAAUUGCCAAAGCUUUGGGGGGGGUAAAGAAAAACAUAAGUGUAUAAGUGUAUGCCUUUGAACUUCCAAAAUGUCAAGGUCAUCACCUUUAACCUCUCUGAAUAAUUAGGCGCCUUAAAGUUCUUCUGUGAUUUCUAACCACCGCCCAGGCUCAUACAUCCAGACCCACACACAUAUUUAUGACCAUACAGAUUCAUACUGGGGGUUCACCAUAAAUCUAGGAAAAUUCCUAAUUUCAGGAUCAAUAACUAUAAUUUCCCUCCCAACAUUUGAGUAAUUUAAUAGCAACUGACUUCUUAGG
Molecule: long non-coding RNA, 573 nt
Filed under: Mus musculus (house mouse)
Lineage: Eukaryota; Metazoa; Chordata; Mammalia; Rodentia; Muridae
Description: long non-coding RNA chr2:74685334-74685907
Source: RNAcentral